CGCAAAUCGAAUUCUCUCCAUCGCUAGCUUUAGCUUUCUGUUUCUCUUUCUAAUUUCAGCUUGUUAUUUUUCUUUUCUGCGAUUUAUUAUGGCCCGUUUUCCAAGUAACCCGAUUCCGAUAUUUAAAACUUGUCAACAGUCUCCGUUGCAGUCUCCAUUGCAGUCUCCAGUGGUGGUGAUCGGACCACAGUUCUUGGCACAGUAUCCGAUGGACCUGCAAGUGUCCACCAAGCUUUUGGCUCUUGGAGAAUGUAAUUUAGGCGUCACCGACACUAUGGGCAACCUGAUUUUAAGGGUGAAAAGUAAACUCUUAAGCAUCCAUGAUCGGCGUUAUUUGCUUGACCCCUCUGGCAAUGUCAUUGCCACUUUCCUACAGAAGAUAUUCACUGCCCAUAGGAGAUGGCUUGUUUUCAGAGGAGACAGCGCAAACCCCAAAAAUUUAAUUUUCAGCGUGAAGAAAUCGUCUAUCAUCCAAAUCAAAACAGAAUUAGAUGUAUUCUUAGCUACUAACACAGCAGAAACUGUCCCUGAUUUCAAGGUCAAGGGAAGCUGGUCUGAGAGGUCUUGCACCAUAUAUCUUGGGCAAUCCAAUACGAUCAUCGCACAAGUAAUUAAGCUCUAAACCAAUUCUAAUUUUAUUUUAUUUUUUUCCAUUCAUAUGAAGAACUUAUAAAUCACAUUAUCAUUAUUUUACCAAAUUAUGAUAUAUACUCAGUUAAGGUGACAUAUAUAUGUUAAUGGUACGUAAUGCAGAUGCAUAAGAAACGUUCACUUUCAACUGUUGUGUUGGAUGCGGACAAAUUUGGAGUGACUGUGUAUCCCAAUGUGGAUUAUGCCUUCAUAGUGGCACUUGUGGUGAUUCUUGAUGAGAUCAAUGAGGAUCGCCAUGGUGAUAAUUAGAUAGCAAUUAAUGUUAAUAAUAGAAAUUUUAAAAAACUAAUAAUUAAAGAGAGUGGAUUGCAUUUUCUUUGUUGCGUUCUCUAUGGAAUACAUGUAUGUAUUUAGAUGGAGUUGGAGUGGAGUGACCAAGUUUUGUGUUUCUUUCCUCAUGAAAACAUAUAUUUGAUGCUGAAAUGAACUGCUGGGGAGAAUUUAUGAUUGUA
This 1103-nucleotide unclassified non-coding RNA is filed under the name Hevea brasiliensis (rubber tree). Lineage: Eukaryota; Viridiplantae; Streptophyta; Magnoliopsida; Malpighiales; Euphorbiaceae. The record is from RNAcentral.